CCCGCCUGGGGAGUACGAUCGCAAGGUUGAAACUCAAAGGAAUUGACGGGGGCCCGCACAAGCGGUGGAUUAUGUGGUUUAAUUCGAAGCAACGCGAAGAACCUUACCAGGGCUUGACAUCCCGGUGACCGCUGUAGAGAUACAGUUUUCCCUUCGGGGACACCGGAGACAGGUGGUGCAUGGUUGUCGUCAGCUCGUGUCGUGAGAUGUUGGGUUAAGUCCCGCAACGAGCGCAACCCCUAUUGUUAGUUGCUACGCAAGAGCACUCUAGCGAGACUGCCGUUGACAAAACGGAGGAAGGUGGGGACGACGUCAAAUCAUCAUGCCCCUUAUGUCCUGGGCUACACACGUAAUACAAUGGCGGUCAACAGAGGGAGGCAAAGCCGUGAGGCAGAGCGAACCCCCAAAAGCCGUCCCAGUUCGGAUCGCAGGCUGCAACCCGCCUGCGUGAAGUCGGAAUCGCUAGUAAUCGCGGAUCAGCAUGCCGCGGUGAAUACGUU
Molecule: ribosomal RNA, 500 nt
Filed under: uncultured bacterium
Lineage: Bacteria
Description: bacterial SSU rRNA
Rfam family: Bacterial small subunit ribosomal RNA
Source: RNAcentral